RNAcentral lists this non-coding RNA (24 nucleotides) under Arabidopsis thaliana (thale cress). Lineage: Eukaryota; Viridiplantae; Streptophyta; Magnoliopsida; Brassicales; Brassicaceae. The record is from RNAcentral.
CUAUUCAUCGAUUUGACCGGCGGC